AAUUUAUGCGGGUGGAAUAUAGCGGUGAUUAUACCGUCAGACGUGACAUCUCCCUCCUUAGGAAAGUUCGGUCCCCGAACUUUUAUUAGAUUCUAAAGUGUGCGUGGCAGUGUAAGAGCUGUGUUGCUGUAGUUGGAUUUAUCUAAAUCGAGAGCUGGUUAUCUAUACUGUCACCGUGAUUUCGUUGGACGGAUAUGAUAAGGAUAAAUUAAAAGUAAGUUAAUGCUAUAUUUCUAUCGUUACUACAUUUAUUCAUAUAAGUUUUAGUCUCUCCCCUUUUUUUAUUUUUUAUUAUUUUUGUUUAAGUAUAUUCAAGUAUUUGCCGCGUAUUCUUUCCUUAGCUUCGUCUAAAUCCAGGCGAUAAGCAAGAUUAUGUAGUCUUUUUACUUCUAGCAUAAGGCUUGUCGUUGACAUUUUGCUUAGCUCUGUAAGGAUAAUUAUUUAUUGAUUAUAUAUAACGGUUUUAUCGUAUAAGAGUGCAGUAAUUAAUAUAUUUCGUUAU
Molecule: long non-coding RNA, 502 nt
Organism: Temnothorax curvispinosus
Lineage: Eukaryota; Metazoa; Arthropoda; Insecta; Hymenoptera; Formicidae
Exons: 3
Source: RefSeq, a predicted model, not a curated record